Molecule: long non-coding RNA, 1246 nt
Organism: Zonotrichia leucophrys gambelii
Lineage: Eukaryota; Metazoa; Chordata; Aves; Passeriformes; Passerellidae
Exons: 3
Source: RefSeq, a predicted model, not a curated record
CUGUACUUAGCUUGGAGACAGGAGAGUGAGAACACUGGAUAGUGUCACUAUAGGAUGUGAAACAACAUGACGUGGACUUGCUGUUCUUUCCAAGGUGCUAAAAAGCGCAAACAACAAGCAGGACAAAAAAGCCGAAAGCAACUUGAUUUAAGAAGAACAGGGAGAUUAGUGCUUCUUGCGGCUUGGGGACGACAGAACUGGCAAGCGGCGCUGUCAAAAUAGACUACGAUGUGACGGUGGGAAUUUUGUCCUGACGAAUUGGAAUGGCUGCCCAUGAGAAAAUCGCAUAAGACCGGAAAAUGGAGAAGUGUGAGAUCAGCCAUUUUAAACAUUAGAAGCAAAUUGUUUCUUCCGAGGGCUGCCUUCCCCAGGAAAAAUGCUGACUUUGGCAGCACCUUUAUGUUUGCAGAGCACCCUGUGUGCAGCAAGCCAUUGCUGCUGUGCAGCGGUCAAUGAGAUCAGGACGAUCUCAGCAGUACAGAACAGUUUGAUUCUAGGAUGUGGAGAUCCACUGACACAAUUAUUGCAGAGAUCAGAAAUAUCUGGUUUACCUGUGGGAAGCUAAAACUGCUAGGAGUGUGUUGGCUGUGGCUCUGCAGGCUUUUAGUGGGAGAGAAGUGAAGUUAGUAUUUCUUUUGCAGAUUACUUGAGUGAUUCCCUGACUUCUGUCUGUCUUUACUGUAAGCUCUUGGGAAAGUAACAUUUCUAUUCUUCCUUUGUGUUGAGCCUUUUUCAGUGGGACCCUGAUCUUGCUGGACCUAAUCAGAGCUGCUGCAAAAUUAGAAUACUGCCAUUUGUUCCUCUCCCACUCUAAGGCAACUGCAUAGUAAAACUCUCUAUCUUUUUCCAGAGUUUUAAAACUCGAUUCAUUCCUUAAAUGCAAGAGGGCUUAGGGAGGAGUGAGGAUUGAUUCUCAAAGUUACAAAUCCUGCUGCCUUUCCAAAUAAAAUUAAACAGCAUCCUAGUCUCACCUGUAUGCUUGCUGACCAUCUCAGCAUUAGGAAGACAUCCUAAUGUGCUUUCUGCUGCUGUUUUGUUAUUACACACACACAUACCCUUUUCUCUUUUUUUUCAUAAUUGCUAGCUCCUUAUGCUUCAGAGACUGUCAGAUGAGAAUAACAGGACAUCCAUGAUAUUCAUAAUAUUUGUAGCAGCUGUCAAAUGAUACUGUCUUAGAGUGGAAGAUGUGUAGUUCUGCAGAGUGACAGCUGUGGCUUGUAUAUAUUUAAAGCAGCCCUCUCUGUCU